Molecule: long non-coding RNA, 6437 nt
Filed under: Sus scrofa (pig)
Lineage: Eukaryota; Metazoa; Chordata; Mammalia; Artiodactyla; Suidae
Description: lncRNA (ENSSSCG00000058473.1)
Source: RNAcentral
AGUUCCUCAAACUGCUCUGCUCACUCACCUCCUUCCCUCUGCCCUCUGAGACCCAGGGAGGUUAAAUCACUUGGUCACACAGCAAGUUAGAGGCUGAACCACGUUCAAGAGCAGAACACCAGGCUGGGAGCCCUCACGAUUCACCGCUGUGGUCAAGGAACGCAGUGCCUUGAGAAGACCACGUCCGGGACCUGUGACUUACCUUCUAUGGCAAAAGAAAAGAUGUGAUUAAGUGAAGGAUCUCGAGAUGCGCAGAUGAUCCUGGAUCAUCCAAGUGGGCUUGAUGUCAUAACAACAGUCCUUAUAACAGGGUCUGUCUAUCUCUUUCAGACAGAAGAUUAUGUGAUGACAAAGCAGAAGAACAGAGAGAAAGAAAUGUGAAGCUGUUAAACUGCCGGCUUUGAAGAUAGAAGAGUCAUGAGCCAAGAGAUGCAGACGGCCUCUGGACGCUGGAAAAGGCAAGGCAACCGAUUCUCCCCUGGAGCCUCCAAAAGGAACCAGGGAAUAAGUGAAACUGACUUUAGACUUCUGGGCACCGUAACUGAAAGAGAAUAUAUUUGUGUUGAUUUAAGCACCUACAUUUAUGGUGAUUUUUCACAGCAGCCACAGUGAAUGAAUGCAAAUACCGAACUCAGCUGCAGCAUGGUUCCUAUAAGAGCUGGCACUUGGAGGUACAUCAUUAAGCAGCGGGCACCUGCACCCUGUUGCAAGGGAUGCUGGGACCACGGAUGCAGAGAAGGUUCCACCUGGUCUGAAGGGUCAGGGAAGAACUUGCUCCAGCCUAGGAAAGGGAAAGGGAGGAUGCUGAACAGAGGGGCACUGAGUGCAAAGGCUGGGGCGUGAGAGAAAGCUCAGUCAUUUAAGGGGCUGAAGUGAUUCAGUGUGGCAGAAUUUGAAGGGAAAAUGGUAGAAGCCAUGUAGUACAGUAGAUAGGAGGGCAGGCCCUGUGAGUGCUUGGAUGUGAGGCCUGGCCUUGCUGUCUCCCAGCUGUGUGACUUGGGGUAAGUAACUUGAUCUCUCUGUGCCCUAUUUCCUCACCUGCUUGAUGUUUUUUGUUUUUGUUUUUAUGGCUGCACCUGCACCAUCUGGAAGUUCCCAGGCUAGGGGUUGAAACGGAGCUGCAGCCCCUGGCCUACCCCAGAGCCACAGCAAUGCCAGAUCCGAGCCUCAUCUGCAACCCACACCACAGCUCACGGCGGUGCUCGAUCCUUAACCCACUGAGCAAGGCUUGGGAUCAAACCUGCAUCCUCAUGGAUGCUAGUCAGAUUCGUUUCUGCUGAGCCAUGACAGGAACGAACUCUUUUUUUUUUUUUUUUUUUUUUUUUGGCCAUGCCUGUGACACACAGAACCCACACCAUAGCAGAGACCCAAACUGCUGCAGUGACAACGCUGGAUCCUUAACUCACUGCACUGCAAGAGAACUCCAUGUCUGAUGGUAUUUUGUGUGUAUGUUCCUUUUUUCUUUAUUUUUAAAAAUUUUUACAUAAAUUUUCAAGGUUACUUUCCAUUUGUAGUUAGUACAAAAUAUUGGCUCUACCUCCCCCUGUUGUACAAUACAUCCUUGAACCUGUUUUAUAAGCAGUAGUUGGCACCUCCUGUCCCCUAACCUCUAUGUUGCCCCACCCUCCCCUUGCCUGAUGGUAUUUACCUCACAGGGUUCUGUGAGGUUUAAAUACCUCUACAGCACUUGGAACGGUGUCUGGCACAGAGUAAGGGCUCAGUAAAUCUGUCAUCGAUGCCUCUCCAUAUCAACAGCGAGGUGGCUGGCUGUACCCUUCGGGUGGGGUGAGUGUACAGUCUAGGGCCACCCAAGGGGAGGCCCACAUCCUCUGACUGGGGAAGCAGAUCAGGGUCACCAGAGCAACAGUCCUGCAUUUUUGCUGGAAGUUCUGGGAAAGAGGAGCUCUCUCCCAGGUUGGACAGCCGAGGAGGACUGCCUGGAGCAGCUGGAGGGCAUCUUUAUGACCACGUGGGGAGAGCCUGCCUGAGAAGGAAGCCAGUAGGAUGGGAAGUGGGGGAGGCAGAGCCCUGGAGGCAAUGAGGCAGGUCUAGAAAGUGUUACCUAGGCCUCUGGAUCCAGACAUGCCUCAGUCACCCCCUUGGACUAUUGGACUAUCUGUUACAGGGAAAAUCAGUUCCUUUUUUGCUUUCAGAGUUUCAGCUGGGUUUUGGGCACCAGCAACCAGGAGAGUCCUGAUAGAUAGCUAUGUGCUCAGUAAACAUGCAUGGACUGGAGUUCCCUUAUAGCGCAGUGGGUUAAGUAUCCGGCAUUGUCAUUGCAGUGGCUUGGGUCCAAUCCCUGGCCUGAGAACUUCCACAUGCUGCAGGUGUGGCAAAAAUAAAAAAAAAAAACAAAAAACCAUGCAUGGACUGAGGGACUGAGUGAACCCUUUGAGUUUGGGGGGGUUGCCUAGGAUGGGCCUCACUGCCCCAUGGGACCAUGAGGACUUGCAGAGAUUCUGCACUUGGCCUGGGAAGGCACCUUCUCCAUUCUCCCCUUUGCAGGGUCUGGCAUCCGGAUCUAGGUUCUUUCCAAAAGAAGAUGAGGCUUGACUCAGGACAGGUGUGCAGGUGGCUGAAGCUUUGCUUUCCUCUCUCUGAACCAAACCUUCCCCAACAGGCGAGGUCUCAGGUUCUGCUUGGAGCCAGGAAAAUGAGAAAAGAGGCUGAGGGCUAAAGUCCUAGGAACAGCCCCAAGGGUGACACAAAUGCCUUUAUCAGUCCCGUUUUACAAAUGAAGACACUGAGGCCGAGAGGUAAAGUUACCUGUCCUCAAAGCUGGGGCCCAUCAAACGGAACUCAGAACUUGUUUCUUGUCCCCAAAUAUUGCUUCCUUUUCCUUAGCCAUUUUCUUUCUGGUAUCUGCAAAUUUUGUCUGGCUUCUUGCCCUCUCAAGUGUGCAUACUCUGAUUCCUUUUUUCUUUCUUUCUUUUUUUUUUUUUUUUUGUCUUUUUGGGGCUACACCAGUGGCAUAUGUAAGUUCCCAGGCUAGGGGUUGAAUCAAAGCUGCAGCUGCUGGCCUGCACCAACAGCAACACAGAAUCUGAGCUGCAUCUGCAACCUAUACCACAGCUCACAGAAACACCUGAUUCUUCACCCAUUGAGCGAGGCCAGGGAUCAGACCUACAUCCUCAUAGGUUCUAGUCAGAUUUGUUUCCACUGAGCCACAAUGGGAACUCUCUCCGAUUCCUUUUAAUUACUCACUCACUCAUUGCUCUUAGGUCACAAAGAAUGUCUGAGCAGACCUUGGCCUGCAUCUCUGCUCCACGUGUACAGCUGUGUGUAUCUUUGGGUCAGUGUCUUCACCUCUCUGGGCCUUGGUUCCUCCAGUUAUGGCAGUGGAGAUGGCAAAACCUGCUCUCAGCCUUUUUAUGAGGACUAUGUGAAUUAAUACAUGUAAAAUGCUUAAAACUGUAAGUCCUUUUGAAGUGUUCAAUAGGUGGCAGCUUUUAUCAUUCAUUUCUUUCAGAAACUGUAUCGUGUCCUAUUUCUUGGAAUGAAGUAGAGGAAAAUGGGUCCCCAAAUAAGCCAUUAACACUACUUGGGGAGUUCCCGUCAUGGUACAGUGGAAACAAAUCCAACUAGGAACCAUGAGGUUGCGGGUUCAAUCACUGGCCUCGCUCAGUAGGUUAAGGAUCUGGUGUUGCCGUGAGCUGUGGUGUAGGUCGCAGACUCGGCUCGGAUCCUGUGUUGCUGUGGCUGUGGUGUAGGCCGGUGGCUACAGCUCUGAUUAGACCCCUGGUUUCGGAACCUCAAAAGGCAAAAAGACAAAAACAAAACAAAACAAAACAAACACUACUUGGGAAACAGCAAUGUAACCUCUCUUUUCUCCUUUUGUUUUUUAAUUUUUUUUUCUUUUUCUUUUUUUUUCUUUUAGAGCCACACCUGUGACAAAUGGAGGUUCCCAGGCUAGGGGUCAAAGGAAUCCAAAGUACAGCUGCCAGCCUAUGCCACAGUCACAGCAACACAGGAUCCGAGCCAUGUCUGCAACCUACACCACAGCUCACAGCAACACCAGAUCCUCAACCCACUGAGCGAGGCCAGGGAUCAAACCUGCAACUUCAUCGUUCCUAGUCAGAUUUGUUUCCACUGUACCAUGACAGGAACUCCACUGCUUUUUAAUUUUGAAGUCUUUAUCUAUGUUGGCAGAUGAGCAGUAGCAAGACGGUGGGGUAUGGGGGACAGCUGGUGCUUCUUGCUUGCUAGGAUGGGGUCACCCCUCCCGUCUUUCCCCUCAUAGAGUGUACUGACUGGGGCAGCUGAGAGGCUGAGAAGCUGGCAGAACUUUGGCGUCUCAAGGUCUGGGGGAACCAAAAUUGGAGUGAGGUUCACCCAGGGUGGGAGUUCCUUGAUAAAAACCCUGGGCUUGAGGUGGAACUCCAAUAACUGUGAUUGAUGCAUUUGGGAAAUCAGAUGAGAAUUUUAGCAGAAAACUAGAAACUAUAAAAAAUAAUUAAAUGGAAGUCCCAGAACUGGAAAACACGAUAUUGGCAAUAAGACUUGUAGCUAUUAGAUCACAGGCUCUGAGCCACUGCCCAGGUUUAGGUCCCAGCCCCAGCCUCUACUAUUUAUAAUGUCAGUCCCUGUUUCUCUUUUAUUGAGGUGAAAUUCACACAACAUACGAGACAAUUUAAAGCGCACAAUUCAGUGGUAUUCAGUGUCUUUACAAUAUUCUACAAACCCCAGCUCUCUAGUUUUAAAUGUUUUCAUCACAUCUCAAAACACCCCAUAGCCAUUAAGUAGUCACUCCCCAUCUUCUUCGACCCUCCCCUGAUAAUCUCUAAUCCACCUUCUGUCUCUAUGGACUUCACUGUUACGGUUGUAUCAUAUAAAAUAAAACACAGGGUAUGGAAUUUCUGGCUUCUUUCACUUUACAUGUUUUCAAGAUUCAUCCAAGUUGUAGCAUGCAUCAGUAUUUCGUUCCUUUUUAUGGCCAAAUAAUAUUCUGUUUUUUGUUUUUUGUUUUUUUUUUUGUCUUUUUUGGGCCACACUCACAGCAUAUGGAAAUUCCCAUGCUAGGGGUCAAAUCAGAGCUGUAGCCAAAGACCUACAACAUAGCCACAGCAAGGCCAGAUCUGAGCCACCUCUUUGACCUAUACCACAGCUCACAGCAAUGCCAGAUCCUUAACCCACUGAGAGAGGCCAGGAAUCAAUCCUUCGUCCUCAUGGAUACUAGUCAGAUUCGUUUCCGCUGAGCCAUGAUGGGAACUCCCCAAAUAAUAUUCUAUUGCAUAGCUGUACCACAUUUUGUUUAUCCAUCAAUGGACAUUUGAGUUGUUUCUGUCUUUGACUAGUAUGAAUAAUGUUGCAUAAAUACUUGUGUACAAGUUUCUGUGUGCAUGGAUAUUUUCAUUUCUCUUGGGUAUAUACUUUGGUCUUGAAUGAGUCCUUGUUCUUUAACUUCUUGCUGCAGUUUCCUUGUCUGUAAAAUGGAGCUGGUGAUGGUACUUAAUGGGUAGUGUUACAUGAGACAAUUAGUGCAAAGUAGUUGCUAUAGAUCAGAGCUGUGGCCCAAUUAGGAAAGUAGGUGUUGACAUGUCUUUUUGUCCAGUGAGGUCACUGACUCCUGGAGGGCAGGGUCUGCUUGAUGUGUGUCUGCACCCCCAGUGCCUGGCAUUCAGCUGGCAUGAAGCAGAUAUUGAAUAACUGUUUCUGGAGUAUUUGGAAGUGAUUCUUUCUCAUGCAUGGCCUUGCUCUUCCCUUAGGCUCCGCCAGCACCACAAGGAGCAUGGAAAUUACUAGGCUUUUUCAAGUACUAAGGGAUAUGAAGCUCCUGGAAGUUGAAUAACUUAAUUAAUGGUAUAAGACUAAAGAGAAGCAGAAAUUAAAGUUCAAUCUAGCACCUCAAGCAAGGGUUUAUUCAUUUAUUCAGACAUCAAAUAUUGACUGAGCACCUGCUGUACACCAGGCAUGUUCUAGGCAGUGGUAUCUUCCUGAAUUAUUUGAGAAGACAAUAUAAACAAUAUAAAUAUGUUAUAUAGUGUAUCUAGGUGAUACACUAUCCACUCAAAGAUGGUAUGUGCCAAAGAGACAAGGCAGGAAAGGAGGACAAGGAGUCACAAGGGAGGGGUGAUGACUUAUUCAGGGUGGCCAGUGUAGACCUCACAGCCAACAGGACUUUUGAGUAUAGAUAUCAGGGAGUGAACCAUGUGCAUGUCUCUAACUGUAACUCAGGAUCCAGUUAGAAGCAGCUUUGGGAGUUCCCGUCGUGGCCCAGUGGUUAACAAAUCCGACUAGGAACCAUGAGGUUGUGGGUUCGAUCCCUGGCCUUGCUCAGUGGGUUGGGGACCCGGUGUUGCUGUGAGCUGUGGUGUAGGUCGCAGACUCAGCUUGGAUCCCGUGUUGCUGUGGCUCUGGAGUAGGCCAAUGGCUACAGCUCCGAUUAGACCCCUAGCCUGGGAACCUCCAUAUGCUGCGGGAGCGGCCCAAGAAAUGGC